RNAcentral lists this long non-coding RNA (210 nucleotides) under Gossypium barbadense (sea-island cotton). Its description in RNAcentral is "long non-coding RNA (GBAR_LNC020214)". Lineage: Eukaryota; Viridiplantae; Streptophyta; Magnoliopsida; Malvales; Malvaceae. The record is from RNAcentral.
CACGCUUGAUGUUGGAUAAAUGUGUAUUGUGUGAAUAUGCAACUUUUAACAUGUAUGAAUUUAUAAGGCAACAAACAACUUUUCUAAAUAUGUUAUAUGGGGUAGACCUUAGGCAAAGGUGGUUUGAUUGUUGGAGGUUUCAAGCACUCUAAUAUUCGUGUUCUCAUGCGGUUAUAGCAUGUACCAUUUUUUAUGUCAACUAUAUGCAAA